RNAcentral lists this ribosomal RNA (253 nucleotides) under uncultured bacterium. RNAcentral's name for it is "partial 16S ribosomal RNA". It matches the Rfam family "Bacterial small subunit ribosomal RNA", at positions 524 to 776 of the family's 1533-position model. The record is from RNAcentral.
UACGAAGGGGGCUAGCGUUGCUCGGAAUCACUGGGCGUAAAGCGCACGUAGGCGGGUCCUUAAGUCAGGGGUGAAAUCCCGGAGCUCAACUCCGGAACUGCCUUUGAUACUGGGGAUCUUGAGUCCGGAAGAGGUGGGUGGAACUCCGAGUGUAGAGGUGAAAUGCGCAGAUAUCAGGAAGAACACCAAUGGCGAAGGCAGCUCUCUGGGACGGUACUGACGCUGAGACGCGAAAGCGUGGGGAGCAAACAGG